GGCUCUGUGGCGCAAUGGAUAGCGCGUUGGACUUCUAAUUCAAAGGUUGUGGGUUCGAGUCCCACCAGAGUUG
This is a non-coding RNA of Hippocampus comes (tiger tail seahorse), 73 nucleotides long. The record is from the annotation of a RefSeq genome assembly. Lineage: Eukaryota; Metazoa; Chordata; Actinopteri; Syngnathiformes; Syngnathidae.